AGUGAACGCUGGCGGUAGGCCUAACACAUGCAAGUCGAACGGCAGCACAGUAAGAGCUUGCUCUUACGGGUGGCGAGUGGCGGACGGGUGAGGAAUACAUCGGAAUCUACUUUUUCGUGGGGGAUAACGUAGGGAAACUUACGCUAAUACCGCAUACGACCUACGGGUGAAAGCAGGGGAUCUUCGGACCUUGCGCGAUUGAAUGAGCCGAUGUCGGAUUAGCUAGUUGGCGGGGUAAAGGCCCACCAAGGCGACGAUCCGUAGCUGGUCUGAGAGGAUGAUCAGCCACACUGGAACUGAGGCACGGUCCAGACUCCUACGGGAGGCAGCAGUGGGGAAUAUUGGACAAUGGGCGCAAGCCUGAUCCAGCCAUACCGCGUGGGUGAAGAAGGCCUUCGGGUUGUAAAGCCCUUUUGUUGGGAAAGAAAAGCAGCAGGUUAAUACCCCGCUGUUCUGACGGUACCCAAAGAGUAAGCACCGGCUAACUUCGU
RNAcentral lists this ribosomal RNA (491 nucleotides) under uncultured bacterium. RNAcentral's name for it is "partial 16S ribosomal RNA". It matches the Rfam family "Bacterial small subunit ribosomal RNA", at positions 29 to 506 of the family's 1533-position model. The record is from RNAcentral.